RNAcentral lists this ribosomal RNA (730 nucleotides) under uncultured bacterium. RNAcentral describes it as "bacterial SSU rRNA". It matches the Rfam family "Bacterial small subunit ribosomal RNA", at positions 61 to 772 of the family's 1533-position model. The record is from RNAcentral.
GUCGAGCGGCAGCGACACAUUGAACCUUCGGGGGAUUUGUUGGGCGGCGAGCGGCGGACGGGUGAGUAAUGCCUGGGAAAUUGCCCUGAUGUGGGGGAUACCAUUGGAAACGAUGGCUAAUACCGCAUGAUAGCUUCGGCUCAAAGAGGGGGACCUUCGGGCCUCUCGCGUCAGGAUAUGCCCAGGUGGGAUUAGCUAGUUGGUGAGGUAAGGGCUCACCAAGGCGACGAUCCCUAGCUGGUCUGAGAGGAUGAUCAGCCACACUGGAACUGAGACACGGUCCAGACUCCUACGGGAGGCAGCAGUGGGGAAUAUUGCACAAUGGGCGCAAGCCUGAUGCAGCCAUGCCGCGUGUAUGAAGAAGGCCUUCGGGUUGUAAAGUACUUUCAGCAGUGAGGAAGGAGGUAUCGUUAAUAGCGGUAUCUUUUGACGUUAGCUGCAGAAGAAGCACCGGCUAACUCCGUGCCAGCAGCCGCGGUAAUACGGAGGGUGCGAGCGUUAAUCGGAAUUACUGGGCGUAAAGCGCAUGCAGGUGGUUUGUUAAGUCAGAUGUGAAAGCCCGGGGCUCAACCUCGGAAUUGCAUUUGAAACUGGCAGGCUAGAGUACUGUAGAGGGGGGUAGAAUUUCAGGUGUAGCGGUGAAAUGCGUAGAGAUCUGAAGGAAUACCGGUGGCGAAGGCGGCCCCCUGGACAGAUACUGACACUCAGAUGCGAAAGCGUGGGGAGCAAA